RNAcentral lists this ribosomal RNA (492 nucleotides) under uncultured bacterium. RNAcentral describes it as "partial 16S ribosomal RNA". It matches the Rfam family "Bacterial small subunit ribosomal RNA", at positions 29 to 507 of the family's 1533-position model. The record is from RNAcentral.
AGUGAACGCUGGCGGUAGGCCUAACACAUGCAAGUCGAACGGCAGCACAGUAAGAGCUUGCUCUUACGGGUGGCGAGUGGCGGACGGGUGAGGAAUACAUCGGAAUCUACUUUUUCGUGGGGGAUAACGUAGGGAAACUUACGCUAAUACCGCAUACGACCUACGGGUGAAAGCAGGGGAUCUUCGGACCUUUCGCGAUUGAAUGAGCCGAUGUCGGAUUAGCUAGUUGGCGGGGUAAAGGCCCACCAAGGCGACGAUCCGUAGCUGGUCUGAGAGGAUGAUCAGCCACACUGGAACUGAGACACGGUCCAGACUCCUACGGGAGGCAGCAGUGGGGAAUAUUGGACAAUGGGCGCAAGCCUGAUCCAGCCAUGCCGCGUGGGUGAAGAAGGUCUUCGGGUUGUAAAGCCCUUUUGUUGGGAAAGAAAAGCAGCAGGUUAAUACCCCGCUGUUCUGACGGUACCCAAAGAAUAAGCACCGGCUAACUUCGUG